UACGUAGGGUGCGAGCGUUGUCCGGAUUUAUUGGGCGUAAAGAGCUCGUAGGCGGUUUGUCGCGUCGGCCGUGAAAUCUCCACGCUUAACGUGGAGCGUGCGGUCGAUACGGGCAGACUUGAGUUCGGUAGGGGAGACUGGAAUUCCUGGUGUAGCGGUGAAAUGCGCAGAUAUCAGGAGGAACACCAGUGGCGAAGGCGAGUCCCUGGACAACUUCUGACGCUGAGGCACGAAAGCUAGGGGAGCAAACAGG
RNAcentral lists this ribosomal RNA (253 nucleotides) under uncultured bacterium. RNAcentral describes it as "partial 16S ribosomal RNA". It matches the Rfam family "Bacterial small subunit ribosomal RNA", at positions 524 to 776 of the family's 1533-position model. The record is from RNAcentral.